RNAcentral lists this ribosomal RNA (253 nucleotides) under uncultured bacterium. RNAcentral's name for it is "partial 16S ribosomal RNA". It matches the Rfam family "Bacterial small subunit ribosomal RNA", at positions 524 to 776 of the family's 1533-position model. The record is from RNAcentral.
UACGUAGGGGGCAAGCGUUGUCCGGAUUUAUUGGGCGUAAAGAGCGUGUAGGCGGCUUUACAGGUCCGUUGUGAAAACUCGAGGCUCAACCUCGAGACGCCGGUGGAAACCGUAAGGCUAGAGUCCGGAAGAGGAGAGUGGAAUUCGUGGUGUAGCGGUGAAAUGCGCAGAUAUCAGGAGGAACACCCGUGGCGAAAGCGGCUCUCUGGGACGGUACUGACGCUGAGACGCGAAAGCGUGGGGAGCAAACAGG